RNAcentral lists this non-coding RNA (21 nucleotides) under Caenorhabditis elegans. The record is from RNAcentral. Lineage: Eukaryota; Metazoa; Nematoda; Chromadorea; Rhabditida; Rhabditidae.
UUCAUAUCUCAGUUUAUUUUU